UUUUAGCCCCGAUUGUAGUGGAAAUCCUUUUUUACUUUUUUUGUCUUUAGACAUCCCGAAAUUUCGGGACAGGAUGACAAAAAAAUUAAAAAAGAUUGAAACGGAAAGCGGGAACAUGG
Molecule: small RNA, 119 nt
Filed under: Flavobacterium dankookense
Lineage: Bacteria; Pseudomonadati; Bacteroidota; Flavobacteriia; Flavobacteriales; Flavobacteriaceae
Description: Flavobacterium sp. ARSA-19 Flavo-1 RNA
Rfam family: Flavo-1 RNA
Source: Rfam by way of RNAcentral